UUUUCGUAGGUGAACCUGCGGAAGGAUCAUUAUUGUAUAACCGAGGUGCGAGGGCUGUCGCUGACCCGAAAGGUCGUGCACGCCCAAGUGCCCUCACACACAUCCAUCUCACCCCUAUGUGCACCACCGCGUGGGUCCCCCUUUGGCUUGUUCGGAGGGGGGCUUACGUUUUCACACAAACUUUGUAUGCAGUGUAGAAUGUAUUUUUUGUUUUUGCGAUCACGCAAUCAAUACAACUUUCAACAACGGAUCUCUUGGCUCUC
This 263-nucleotide unclassified non-coding RNA is filed under the name plant metagenome. Its description in RNAcentral is "partial contains small subunit ribosomal RNA, internal transcribed spacer 1, and 5.8S ribosomal RNA". The record is from RNAcentral.